Long non-coding RNA from Nomascus leucogenys (northern white-cheeked gibbon), 1238 nucleotides. RefSeq lists it as uncharacterized. NCBI's taxonomy places the organism in Eukaryota, Metazoa, Chordata, Mammalia, Primates, Hylobatidae. The record is from RefSeq and is a predicted model, not a curated record.
GAUUUUCCUGCCUCAGCCUCCUGAGUUGCUGGGAUUACAGAUGAAAGCCUGAAACUGGAAAGAUGAAGCAAUUUGCCCAAGAACUUAGCGUUACUGAGGGUCACAGUGAGGACCUGACUUCAGGCCCCAAGACCAAAAUUGCCUCUUUACCACCUUAAGUCUAGAGUAAUAGAGGUGGAGACAUUCUCAGUGUUAGAAGAGUGGAAUCUGGUGCUUACGCUUCGACAGAGCCCACUCUUACUGAAGCAGCCGUAUCUCCAGCCCAUCAAGAAGAUGAGGAUAGCGGCAGUGAGUACCUGCAGGAGAGAGAAGAAUGUUGAGAUGGGGAAAUUGACUUUGCCAGCUGUUUCUAGGUGCUGCCCACAGCUGUUGAAAUAAGGUGGCUGGCACCUCACAUGAACUCAAUUGUCCUGUUGACUCUGACUCUGGGGACCCACACUUGUAUGACUAGCCUGAUCUAACGCUGUGGAUGUUAACUUUCACACCCGACCUGCCUGGUCCCAAGCUAGUCUUCCUGUCUCUUAGAGCUUCUACAGACCCAAGACCAGCUUGUCAGAAUAAACUUUUCUGCAAGGAAUCAGAACACUCUUCCCAUGCCACCUUCCUGCUCCCCGCCCCGGGGUCUCUUUAAGCGUUCACAUUCAGGGAACCCCAGACACUUACCAUGAGGCCUCCUCCCCAGAGCCCAGUUCCCAGCAUGGCAUGCCUGCCAAUGAGGCCUCUCAACAGGUAGGUCACAUCCCAGUUAGGAAAGAGGAGUGCCAUGUUGGCCCCAGCAGCAAACAGGGCUGCAGUCCCAAGGCUCAGUCCCAGGAUACGGGAGCAAGUCCGUGAGCUUGCCGGCGUGCAGGGAGAGGACAGCAUCCUGGAACAGAUAGAAAGGGGUCGAGGCAGCUCUGCUGUGGGGGGAUGGGGAAGGGAACUCCAGCAGCAUAUCAUGGGUGGGGGAAACAGGCUACAGAAACCGCCACCUUCCAGGGUCAGACCAAUGAGAGCCAACUAACCUGCUUAAAAACUCUGCUCCUUCUGAAUCUUCCCCAGUCACUAGGAUUUGUUUCCUUUUCUGCCAACCCCUGUUCACACAUACAGAGUUUGCAUUCCAUCAUAGUUUAUGCCUCUAUUACAGUCAGUGAUUAUUUCUAUCUGACAAAAAGAAAUGUUUAAAGAUGUCUUCAUGACGUCCAUUUUCUCCACUUCUAUUCAACGUUGUACUGGUCACAGCCAGUGCAAUACGAAAA